GAAAACAAGCGCGGCAAUAUUUCCCUCGUUUUUAUUCCCUUUUCCUCCAAAAUUUCCGUCUUUUGUUUUUUACUUUCACUCACUUUCCCCAAAUACCAUCAACCCUAAUAUAACCACCCUAAAUGCUCAAUAGGUGCGGCCAGAUAAAAUCCAAAAAAAGUCUGCUUUCAAUUUCUUUCGUGAUGGUUGCUUGAUUAAGCUUGAAACCAUCCACUGGUAUGAUCGUUGAUUAGUGUUUUGAGUCGGGAAGUUCGAAUGGGGGUUGCUUAAUUAAGGAUGGAAGUUGUAAGUUCCUUCCCCUCUAAUUUCAUUUGUUUCUAGUUUAGGGUUUUGAUUCUCUUAUAGCUUUGGAUAAUGCUCUUAAAAUAGGAGGUCGUACCUCGGGUCACCACUCCCUCAAAGCAAAAUUAGGGCUCAAUUUCAUGCGAAGUCAUCACUGAAUUCUCAAGAACCUGAGUUUUCCAUGUUGUAUUUGAGUAUAAUAUUUCAGUUUUCGAGACAAAUUUUAAUUUCAAUAUUCACUAACUUUAGUAGUGUAUUUUGGUGGUUUGUGGUUGAACUUGUGAUGGGUAUUUAGGUUGAAGAAUUUGAGGAAAAGAAAAUUUUCCAUGGAAAAGUCAGAGCUAUAAUAUUUAUCUAAACUGGAAAUCUUUUCCACUAUAGUUUUGUAGUUUGCUUUAUUAGUUUGAGUCAUUAAAAUAGUUGCUUCCAAUUUAGUCUCUUUAAAAGCAAAACAGAGACCUAUGUUUGGUAAGAAAAGUCCAGUAGCAUCUGCAGUUGGCAUGUGUUUGGUGGCAUCUGCAGUAUAUAGGUGUAUAGUGUGUGUGGGUGAAUAACUUAACAGAGGAGCAUUUGAAAUUGUUUUGUAGCAAUCAGUUGCUUCAGAAGCUCUGCUAAAUUGGCAAUUAUCUCUAAGAAUUGUAGUUGAAGUUCGAUAGAAGUACCAUCAAAUUGUUAUGUUGUAGUUUUAGAAAACUAAAUAUGUUAAUAGUAAUUCGAUGACCAUGACAUCUGUCUGUUUUGCAUUCUUCUUCAUGAUGGUUAUGUUGGAGUAGGUUUCUGUUAUUCGAUGAAAGUGGCACUUACUAUAAGAAGCAAAAAAGAAUAAUAUCAACUACUUGAUGGUUAUGUUGGAGUAGGUUUCUGUUAUUUUCUUGCACACCCUUUCGUAAAUGACAAGCUUGUGCAUUAUUUUUCAUUAGAUGUGCCUAUAGUGUUUUUCAAAUAGAAAACGAACAUCUGAUUGAUAACUGAUUGGUUGACAUCUUGUAAUGAUUUGUUAGGCAGAAUAGCAAAAACAUGGCAUCACUUCUUGUCUUGAAGUCCUAUAGAAAGAAAGACAUUUCUUUGGUGUUGCAUUUAUAUUUUUAAUAAGGUAUUAUGCUGCUUAAUUACUAUUUCCUUCGAGUAAGGUGAUAUGAAUAUCUCAGCUCAAAAUAGCCUCCUUUUUUCCAUCUCAGGAAGGAAGGCGCAAAAUUUAUUGGAGAUGAUCUAUUGAGUGGUUAGUUCCUAACUGUUUUUUGGAAGAUCUUUUGUGGGUUCCUUAAUUCUGGAAUAAGGGCAUAAAUGGUUAGAGAUGGUACCUAUUUAUUUUACUUUAACAAUUAAACUUAUAUGUAACUAUUCUUUCUUGUUUAAUUAAGUUAUUUAUACUUAAAAGUUUUUUCAUACCUAGAUGGCUGAGACAGGGAUAAAGUCAGGACGAGGACAAAUUUGUCUUGCUAUGCAUAAAAAAUAAGAUUGGAUCAUAUGUGACUGAGGGGGCAAGAGAAAU
RNAcentral lists this long non-coding RNA (1774 nucleotides) under Nicotiana tabacum (common tobacco). Its description in RNAcentral is "long non-coding RNA (NTAB_LNC001010)". The record is from RNAcentral. Lineage: Eukaryota; Viridiplantae; Streptophyta; Magnoliopsida; Solanales; Solanaceae.